Molecule: ribosomal RNA, 259 nt
Filed under: uncultured bacterium
Lineage: Bacteria
Description: partial 16S ribosomal RNA
Rfam family: Bacterial small subunit ribosomal RNA
Source: RNAcentral
GUCCAUGCCGUAAACGAUGUCUACUAGCCGUUGGGUCUUUGAGACCUUAGUGGCGCAGCUAACGCGAUAAGUAGACCGCCUGGGAGUACGGUCGCAAGACUAAACUCAAAUGAAUUGACGGGGCCCGCACAAGCGGUGGAGCAUGUGGUUUAAUUCGAUGCAACGCGAAGAACCUUACCUGGCCUUGACAUAGUAGAAACUUUCCAGAGAUGGAUUGGUGCCUUCGGGAAUCUACAUACAGGUGCUGCAUGGCUGUCGU